Molecule: small nucleolar RNA, 84 nt
Organism: Hucho hucho (huchen)
Lineage: Eukaryota; Metazoa; Chordata; Actinopteri; Salmoniformes; Salmonidae
Source: Ensembl
CUGAUACAAUGAUGACUGCAUAGUUCAGCAGAUUAACCAUGAAGAACUACCAGCAUUGUCUUUCGCUCCUAUCUGAUGUAUCCA